This is a non-coding RNA of Gemmatimonas sp. SM23_52, 74 nucleotides long. Lineage: Bacteria; Pseudomonadati; Gemmatimonadota; Gemmatimonadia; Gemmatimonadales; Gemmatimonadaceae. The record is from Rfam.
GCGCCCGUAGCUCAAUUGGAGAGAGCGUCUGACUACGGAUCAGAAGGUUCCGGGUUCGAGUCCUGGCGGGCGCG